Molecule: ribosomal RNA, 117 nt
Filed under: Pterosiphonia complanata
Lineage: Eukaryota; Rhodophyta; Florideophyceae; Ceramiales; Rhodomelaceae
Source: RNAcentral
AUUAACAAAUAAAAAGUAAAAUUUAUUAAGUGCCUGAAACCAUUAGAAUUCAAUUGCAAAUUUAAUUUAUUGAUAAUACUAUAAUGAAAGUUUUAUGGGAAGGUCACUUUUGUUAAU